UACGUAGGGGGCAAGCGUUAUCCGGAUUUACUGGGUGUAAAGGGGGCGCAGACGGCGCGGCAAGUCCGGAGUGAAAUCCCAGGGCCCAACCCUGGGGCUGCUCUGGAAACUGCCGGGCUGGAGUGCAGGAGGGGCAGGCGGAAUUCCUAGUGUAGCGGUGAAAUGCGUAGAUAUUAGGAGGAACACCGGUGGCGAAGGCGGCCUGCUGGACAGCGACUGACGUUGAGGCCCGAAAGCGUGGGUAUCAAACAGG
This 253-nucleotide ribosomal RNA is filed under the name uncultured bacterium. RNAcentral describes it as "partial 16S ribosomal RNA". It matches the Rfam family "Bacterial small subunit ribosomal RNA", at positions 524 to 776 of the family's 1533-position model. The record is from RNAcentral.